AGAUUGAACGCUGGCGGCAUGCCUUACACAUGCAAGUCGAACGGUAGAGUAGCAAUACUCGAGAGUGGCGAACGGGUGAGUAAUAUAUCGGAACGUGCCCAGUCGUGGGGGAUAACGUAGAGAAAUUUACGCUAAUACCGCAUACGAUCUAAGGAUGAAAGCGGGGGAUCGCAAGACCUCGCGCGAUUGGAGCGGCUGAUAUCAGAUUAGGUUGUUGGUGAGGUAAAAGCUCACCAAGCCGACGAUCUGUAGCUGGUUGAGAGAACGACCAGCCACACUGGACUGAGACACGGCCCAGACUCCGACGGAGCAGCAGAGGAAUAUGACAAGUGGGCGA
Molecule: ribosomal RNA, 337 nt
Filed under: uncultured soil bacterium
Lineage: Bacteria
Description: bacterial SSU rRNA
Rfam family: Bacterial small subunit ribosomal RNA
Source: RNAcentral